This 421-nucleotide ribosomal RNA is filed under the name uncultured prokaryote. RNAcentral describes it as "bacterial SSU rRNA". It matches the Rfam family "Bacterial small subunit ribosomal RNA", at positions 355 to 774 of the family's 1533-position model. The record is from RNAcentral.
UGAGGAAUAUUAGUCAAUGGGCGAGAGCCUGAACCAGCCAAGUCGCGUGAAGGAAGAAGGAUCUAUGGUUUGUAAACUUCUUUUACAGGGGGGUAAAAGAGUGACGCGUCACUUAUUGCAAGUACCCUGUGAAUAAGCAUCGGCUAACUCCGUGCCAGCAGCCGCGGUAAUACGGAGGAUGCGAGCGUUAUCCGGAUUUAUUGGGUUUAAAGGGUGCGUAGGUGGACUGUUUAGUCAGUGGUGAAAUGCUGAUGCUCAACGUUAGCAUUGCCGUUGAAACUGACAGUCUUGAGAGUGAUUAAGGCAGGCGGAAUGUGUGGUGUAGCGGUGAAAUGCAUAGAUAUCACGCAGAACUCCAAUUGCGAAGGCAGCUUGCCAAGCCACAACUGACACUGAAGCACGAAAGCGUGGGGAUCAAACA